UACGUAGGCGGAAAAUUAAGUCAGUAGUGAAAUCCUGCAGCUUAACUGUAGAACUGUUAUUGAUACUGGUUUUCUUGAAUAUAGUUGAGGUAGGCGGAAUGUGUAAUGUAGCGGUGAAAUGCUUAGAUAUUACACAGAACACCGAUUGCGAAGGCAGCUUACUAAGAUAUGAUUGACGCUGAGGUACGAAAGCGUGGGGAGCGAACAGGAUUAGAUACCCUGGUAGUCC
This 229-nucleotide ribosomal RNA is filed under the name uncultured bacterium. RNAcentral describes it as "partial 16S ribosomal RNA". It matches the Rfam family "Bacterial small subunit ribosomal RNA", at positions 568 to 796 of the family's 1533-position model. The record is from RNAcentral.